CCUACGGGAGGCAGCAGUAAGGAAUAUUGGACAAUGGGCGCAAGCCUGAUCCAGCCAUGCCGCGUGAAGGAUUAAGGCCCUCUGGGUUGUAAACUUCUUUUAUAGGGGACGAAAAAAGGGCUUUCUAGCUCGACUGACGGUACCCUAUGAAUAAGCACCGGCUAACUCCGUGCCAGCAGCCGCGGUAAUACGGAGGGUGCAAGCGUUAUCCGGAUUCACUGGGUUUAAAGGGUGCGUAGGCGGGCAGUUAAGUCAGUGGUGAAAUCUCUGGGCUCAACCCGGAAACUGCCAUUGAUACUAUCUGUCUUGAAUAUUGUGGAGGUGAGCGGAAUAUGUCAUGUAGCGGUGAAAUGCUUAGAUAUGACAUAGAACACCGAUUGCGUAGGCAGCUCGCUACACAUAUAUUGACGCUGAGGCACGAAAGCGUGGGGAUCAAACAGGAUUAGAUACCCUGGUAGUCCACGCCCUAAACUAUGAUUACUCGACAUUUGCGAUACACAGUAAGUGUCUGAGNGAAGANAUAAGUAAUACCACCGUACGGAGUACGACCGACGAGUAGUAACGUUAAGUAGUAGUUAGUAGACGUGAGAGNGCGACGGACGACGACGAGGGAGAGG
RNAcentral lists this ribosomal RNA (617 nucleotides) under uncultured bacterium. RNAcentral's name for it is "bacterial SSU rRNA". The stretch from base 1 to 535 matches the Rfam family "Bacterial small subunit ribosomal RNA", at positions 338 to 873 of the family's 1533-position model. The record is from RNAcentral.